This is a long non-coding RNA of Oreochromis niloticus (Nile tilapia), 3887 nucleotides long. RefSeq lists it as uncharacterized. The record is from RefSeq and is a predicted model, not a curated record. NCBI's taxonomy places the organism in Eukaryota, Metazoa, Chordata, Actinopteri, Cichliformes, Cichlidae. The transcript has 3 exons.
UCCACUCACGGACCACAAAUCGGUAUCACUUCAGGUCUUUUUCAAUACUAAUGCUGCCCAAAUUUGCAGGAGCUGCUACUGGAAACUUAAUAAUUCCCUUCUAAAACAUGAGAAAGUGAUUGAAGAUAUUUUGUCAUUAAUCAAACGUUUCUGGGAUAAAGCCCUAACUAGUCAUCUCUACUGUCAAAAUUGGGAACUCUUUAAAUUUGAAGCCGGUAAAUAUUUAAGAGAGUAUGGCUCAUCUGCAGCAAAACAAAGGAAAAAUCAAGAAAUUAAUGUAAUUACUAGGAUAUCUGCUCUCACUCAGAUCCCACCAGAGAACAUAUCUGAAGAAGAUAAAACUGACUUAGCUUUGCAACAGAGUAAGUGAAAUGAUAUCUAUAAACUGAAAGCAGAGGGAGCCUUUGUGAGAUCAAGGAGAAGCUGGUUUGAAGAAGGUAAACAACACUCAUCCUGCUUUUUUAAAUUAGAGAAAUCUCGUUCUAAACUUAGUUCUGUUCGGAGACUUAAUAUUGACGGUAUUAUAACUGAUGUCCCCCGAAAAGUCUCCACCUAUUGCUCCAAUUUUUAUAAAGAUUUAUACAAGUCAGUUUGAUGAGAGUGCUGCUCUGAACUUUAUGGAUCAAAUCCCUGAUGUGCGAACAGUAAAAGAAGAUCAGAUGAGUUUCUGUGAUAGGCCGAUAUCUAUUGGUGAAGUGCUGCUAUUCGACAUCUUAAACUUAAUAAGUCCCCAGGAACCGAGGGCUUAACCUCUGAAUUUUACAUUACUUUUGCAGAUCAACUGGCUCCAUUUCUUCUUAAUGUAUACAUUGAAAGUCUUAUAAAUCAGUCUCUUCCCCCCACUUUGUCACAAGGUCUGUUAACCCCAAUCCCAAAGCCAAAGAAAGAUCCCACUUAUAUUGACAAUUGGAUUAUUGAUGAAACUCAGUCUGGCUUUAUGGCUUACAGACACAUAUCCAACAACAUUAGACUUGUUUUUGACCUAAUUGAUUAUGCAGAUUUGUGUAGGGAUGAUAGCUUAUUCAUAAAUUUCUGCAAAGCGUUUCAUACGAUUGAAUAUGGUUUUAUUUUUCAGGCUUUUUACAAAUUUGGCUUUGGUCCUUACUUUCAGAAUGCAAUUAAAACAAUGUCCAAAAAUGUAAAUUGCUCCAUCAAACUACAAGCCGGUACACUGUUGGGUCUUUCUAACACAGGCCCAGUGCUGGAACGAGACAGUUUAGCUACACAGCAAAGGCACUGAACACCAAGUAGGCAAAGUUCUUUGCGUUACUCAUGCACGAGGGAGAUCUGCCUGGAGCUAAGUGUCGUUCCAACCACUUGACCUCCGUCAGACUCUCAGCCAGGUUCCCCAUAGGGCUUUGGAGCGCGAUGUCAUGGGGGUGGGUGUGGAAAGGAUUUUGGCCUGAUCCACCAUUUUCGGGGUCUAAGCGCAAGCGGCAGGCGAAGGAGCGAAAGCACAGCCAUGGUUCGUACUUGCUGUGUGGUCGGCUGCAAUGUUUGAUCUUACGAUCGGCACGGGAAUAAGCUUGGGUUGUCUUUUUAUGCUUUCCCAACCUGGAAGCAAUUUCAAGGAGCUCAGGUAUCGGAUGUUACCAAACGAAGGCGUCGAGCCUGGAUAGCAGCCGUGAGACGAGCUGAUAUCAAGUUCUGUUCCAUCUCCCGGUAUCACUUGGUGUGCUCCAGACAUUUUCAUUCCGGGAAGCCUGCCUAUGAAAUGGAUCAAACAAAUCAAGACUGGGUACCAACGCUACACAUGGGGCACUCCGAAAUCCGAACAUCACAUGCAGACCGUCACAGGAGGCGAACACAACGGGAACAAAAGAAAGCACUAGUAGGAGGCUUUCACAAUGGAGCAGCAAAGUGUGAAGGUGAAGCCUCAGCAGAAGUUACCACAGAAUAGCAGCCAGAGAUGAACACCACAGAAGAGCAACACCAUAACAACCCUGUGAUUUUGUCUGAGGGCCAGAUUUGUGAUGGACAAGUAGAAGCAGAGGUAACGGGUGCAGAUGCAGAAAACGGUGAUCUCAGAGAGAGACAGACAGAAGAUCAAAGACCGACAAUUGAUUGUGUGCGCUGUGUACAGAGCAGAGCAGAAAUAAACCGGCUGCUGGAGGAGAACAGAAAGCUUGUCUUGGACAAGACAGAGCUGAAUGAAAACUUUUUACAGGGUGACAUGGAAAAAGUGAAAUAUUACACUGGUCUUACUUGUUUUGCUAUUUUUAUGUCUGUGCUAGACAAUGUAAAAGCUUUCCUACCAGCAUCAAAGAAACUGUCCCAUUUCCAAAUGCUUUUACUCACACUUAUGCGACUUAGACUUGAUUUUCCUGUUGUUAAGAGAUUUUCAAAUGUUUCAAGUAUUAUUCCCACUGCCAUUUGUACGUUAUUGAAAGUUUAUCUUUAAUUUCAGUGUUAAUAGUUGUUUACCCAUUUAUUCUUUCCAUUUAAUCGUAUUUUACUGCUUCACUAGAAGUGAAGCUGAAGUAAAGACAAAAGCAUAGUGUUCUCAGAUAUGAUUUACCCAGUAUAUUUCCUCUGCACCUGGUUCUCUACGAGCCGUUUCACUCCCAGGAAGGGGAGAGCAGGACGUUCUUAUCUAUACACUCCCAAAUACCAAGAGGGGCCCAUUCUUCAGAAUCACACACACACACUCUGAGAUCAUACACACACACACACACACACAUACUCUGAAACGCUAUAAAUAAAGAACUGCCGCAUACGCUGGUUGUGAGCCUGAGACAGCAGCGCUCACCCAGCGUGCGCACGUUGUUACCAUCCAAACUGUCUUGAGUGUCUUUAUUUCGCCUGAAGAAUGUCUUGUUUAAAUAUUUACUCCUUACAUUUAUUUGGUCCUUCGAGCCAACAGAGUGACCUCGUCGUUUCCUGGAUUCGUGAACCCACGCUGCAAAGUCUGUCGCGACAGCCUGUUUCUAGUGAAACAGUAAAGACCAACUACGUGAAUUCGCCGUUGGCCAGCGUUUUUAGCAAGAGGUCCACGAUCCCAGGGAGCGAGGAGGAUUCUCUCUGACCGGCAUUUUCAUCCGAACCAGGUGAAUAUAAACACUCAAGAACACAUUGCGGCUAAAAUCGGUUUUUAGAUUGACACAGUUCUUAAAAGACUCGUCCUUUAAGAACUGGAAGUCAGGGAUCUCACUCUUACGAGUGAAAGGACUCGCCUGUAAGACGGAACUGGCAGUCCCCUGGGGGACUCGUUCCGCAAUUAAAAGGCUGGAAGUCAGGGAUCUCACUCUUACGAGUGAAUGAAAAUAAAGGGAUCUCACUCUCACGAGUGAAAGGACUCGCCUGUAAGACGGAGUUUGACGGUCCUGUGUGGGGUCACUCCGCAGUUUAAAAGGUUGGAAGUCAGGGAUCUCACUCUCACGAGUGAAUGAAAAUAAAGAACAUGUCAACUAAAAUAGGAUUGUAGUACCGCGUGUGAAGUUUGUGUGUUGUUGAGGAGCGAGUGACCUUUUGAAUAGAAACAACAGGUUUCUGCACCACUCUUACUGUUUCCUGUGUUGACCGAUGUACUGGUGAGAAGGGGUCAAAGGUUGCGCUUCAACGCAUAAAAUUAAGGCCGCCCUGGGUCUAGACCAGGGUAGAAGGCUGCCUUAAUAACCUCCCCGACUCUAAUAUCAGCGAAGGUCACACAGAGUGUAUGUUGGCAGUAUUAAUAAAUAAAAGCAAAACAAGGUGAUUCCAAAUACAACAAAUCAAAAUACAUAUAGGAAAAAUAAAAUUAUAAGCAAUUUACAAUAAAAUAUUAUUGAUAACUCUAAGCCCAAAAAAUGGGAAAUAAACCCGCAAAGCCUGAAUUGACUGCAGAUGAACUAUGGUUAGAAAAGAAAUGCCCCGGUGCAGGACAAAUAAGCGCAAACAGAUGGAGAAAU